Molecule: long non-coding RNA, 602 nt
Filed under: Trifolium pratense (red clover)
Lineage: Eukaryota; Viridiplantae; Streptophyta; Magnoliopsida; Fabales; Fabaceae
Description: long non-coding RNA (TPRA_LNC011595)
Source: RNAcentral
AAUUCUUAACCAACAAGAGGAAGAAGAAGGAUGAUGUGUUCUUGCUAUCAUUUAUGCCACCCUAACAGUGGUUAAGGCAUCAAGCUAAUGACGUUAAAUAAGCGCUUCUUGGGAGGCAACCCAUGAUAGGUAACUCAGUCUUUAAUUUUCUUUUAAUUUCUGCAUUUUAUUAAGUAAUAAAAACCACUGUUGAAUGAAUUUGUCACUACUCUAUCCUUAUCAGUUUGAGUUAAUAUUUUAUGUGUGACUUGAUUUUGAGCAUUUAACUAGAAUGUGCUUGUUAGUUUGUUCUCCAUCUAAGUAGUAACUGUCAACUUACAUUAUUGAUUGCUCUUUGGNNNNNNNNNNNNNNNNNNNNNNNNNNNNNNUUUGAGGAAUUGAUUUCUGUUUGUUUAGCAUGAUUCCUAAUGGCUCUAAUUCUUCUCUGUUAUCCUAACUGUGAGGUCUUGAGCCUAAACACUUGAAUUUUUUUCUUGACUAUGUGAGUUCCACGUCUUUCCUAUUCUCUAGAACUUGCUUGAAUUCUCUUGAUUGAUUGAUUGCGAUGAAUAAUGCACCGAGGCACGUUUUUGUGAGCUUGAGCCUUUGUAGCCUACCCUUGA